Molecule: transfer RNA, 71 nt
Filed under: Saprospiraceae bacterium
Lineage: Bacteria; Pseudomonadati; Bacteroidota; Saprospiria; Saprospirales; Saprospiraceae
Description: tRNA-Cys
Rfam family: tRNA
About the family: Transfer RNA (tRNA) molecules are approximately 80 nucleotides in length. Their secondary structure includes four short double-helical elements and three loops (D, anti-codon, and T loops).
Source: RNAcentral
GGUCGGGUGGCCGAGCGGUCAGGCAGAGGUCUGCAAAACCUUCCACAGCGGUUCGAAUCCGCUUCCGACCU